This 253-nucleotide ribosomal RNA is filed under the name uncultured bacterium. RNAcentral's name for it is "partial 16S ribosomal RNA". It matches the Rfam family "Bacterial small subunit ribosomal RNA", at positions 524 to 776 of the family's 1533-position model. The record is from RNAcentral.
CACGUAGGGUGCGAGCGUUGUCCGGAAUUAUUGGGCGUAAAGAGCGUGUAGGCGGUCCGGUAAGUCAGCUGUGAAAGUCAAGGGCUCAACCCUUGAAUGCCGGUUGAUACUGUCGGGCUAGAGUCCGGAAGAGGCGAGUGGAAUUCCCGGUGUAGCGGUGAAAUGCGCAGAUAUCGGGAGGAACACCAAUGGCGAAGGCAGCUCGCUGGGACGGUACUGACGCUGAGACGCGAAAGCGUGGGGAGCAAACAGG